RNAcentral lists this transfer RNA (67 nucleotides) under Lethocerus deyrollei. Its description in RNAcentral is "tRNA-Pro". Lineage: Eukaryota; Metazoa; Arthropoda; Insecta; Hemiptera; Belostomatidae. The record is from RNAcentral.
UCAGUAAGUAGUUUAUUUAAAAUAUUAAUUUUGGGGAUUAAUGAUGGGUAUAUUACUCUUUACUGAA